RNAcentral lists this ribosomal RNA (933 nucleotides) under uncultured Thermocrinis sp. Its description in RNAcentral is "bacterial SSU rRNA". It matches the Rfam family "Bacterial small subunit ribosomal RNA", at positions 1 to 922 of the family's 1533-position model. The record is from RNAcentral. Lineage: Bacteria; Pseudomonadati; Aquificota; Aquificia; Aquificales; Aquificaceae.
UAGAGUUUGAUCCUGGCUCAGCGCGAACGCUGGCGGCGUGCCUAACACAUGCAAGUCGUGCGGAGGGGCGAUGAGCCCCUCAGCGGCAAACGGGUGAGUAACACGUGAGUAACCUGCCCCUGGGAAGGGGAUAACCCUCCGAAAGGGGGGCUAAUACCCUAUAUAGCCGGGGACCACUAAGGUCACCCGGUGAAAGGUGGCCUCUGCCCUUCACGGGUAUGCUACCGCCCAGGGAGGGGCUCGCGGCCCAUCAGGUAGUUGGUGGGGUAACGGCCUACCAAGCCUAUGACGGGUAGCCGGCCUGAGAGGGUGGCCGGCCACAGUGGGACUGAGACACGGCCCACACCCCUACGGGGGGCAGCAGUGGGGAAUCGUGGGCAAUGGGCGCAAGCCUGACCCCGCGACGCCGCGUGGGGGAUGAAGCCCUUCGGGGUGUAAACCCCUGUCGGGGGGGACGAUGUGUCCUGGGGUGAAUAAUCCCAGGGCAUGACGGUACCCCCAGAGGAAGGGACGGCUAACUACGUGCCAGCAGCCGCGGUAAUACGUAGGUCCCGAGCGUUGCGCGGAUUCACUGGGCGUAAAGCGUCCGCAGCCGGACGGGUAAGCGGUGCGUCAAAGCCCACCGCUCAACGGUGGAAGGGCGUACCGAACUGCCUGUCUUGAGGCACGCCCAGGCAGGCGGAAUUCCCGGUGUAGCGGUGAAAUGCGUAGAUAUCGGGAGGAACACCGAAGCGAAGGCAGCCUGCUGGGGCUGUCCUGACGGUCAGGGACGAAAGCUGGGGGAGCGAACCGGAUUAGAUACCCGGGUAGUCCCAGCCGUAAACCAUGGGCGCUAGGCGUCGUCCUCGUGGCGGUGCCGCAGCUAACGCGGUAAGCGCCCCGCCUGGGGAGUACGGGCGCAAGCCUGAAACUCAAAGAAUUGGCGGGGGGCCC